CCUACGGGUGGCAGCAGUAGGGAAUCUUCCGCAAUGGGCGCAAGCCUGAUGGAGCAACGCCGCGUGAGUGAAGAAGGUUUUCGGAUCGUAAAACUCUGUUUUUAGGGAAGAACAUACGUGUAAGUAACUAUUCACGCCUUGACGGUAUCCAACCAGAAAGUCACGGCUAACUACGUGCCAGCAGCCGCGGUAAUACGUAGGUGGCAAGCGUUAUCCGGAUUUAUUGGGCGUAAAGCGAGCGCAGGCGGUUGUUUAGGUCUGAUGUGAAAGCCUGCGGCUUAACCGAGGAAGUGCAUCGGAAACUGGGCGACUUGAGUGCAGAAGAGGAAAGUGGAACUCCAUGUGUAGCGGUGGAAUGCGUAGAGAUAUGGAAGAACACCAGUGGCGAAGGCGGCUGUCUGGUCUGCAACUGACGCUGAGGCUCGAAAGCAUGGGGAGCGAACAGGAUUAGAUACCCUUGUAGUC
This 465-nucleotide ribosomal RNA is filed under the name uncultured bacterium. Its description in RNAcentral is "partial 16S ribosomal RNA". It matches the Rfam family "Bacterial small subunit ribosomal RNA", at positions 338 to 795 of the family's 1533-position model. The record is from RNAcentral.